Molecule: long non-coding RNA, 235 nt
Filed under: Elaeis guineensis (African oil palm)
Lineage: Eukaryota; Viridiplantae; Streptophyta; Magnoliopsida; Arecales; Arecaceae
Description: long non-coding RNA (EGUI_LNC035244)
Source: RNAcentral
GCCCUUGGCAGCCAAUCAGGCCAUCCAUCUGAUUUUCUUUUGAUAUGAAAAAUCUAUAUGUGAACCAUAAGAUUAUAAUUGGGUGAUGGUGGAACAAGGGUUUAAUUAUAUCCAAUUUAUGAUCAAGACGUUAAUAUCAUCUGGCAUAGAAGCCUACUGAUACGCAAGCUUGUUUGCUCCAGAGAAGCAGGUAGGCUCCAUCUCAGACGAAUCAAGUGACAGUGGUGAUGGGUGC